CUACGGAGGGUGCAAACGUUGUUCGGAAUUACUGGGCGUAAAGCGCGCGUAGGCGGUUUGUUAAGUCAGAUGUGAAAGUCCACCGCUCAACUGUGGAAGUGCAUUUGAAACUGGCAGACUUGAGUACUGGAGGGGGUGGUGGAAUUCCCGGUGUAGAGGUGAAAUUCGUAGAUAUCGGGAGGAAUACCGGUGGCGAAGGCGACCACCUGGCCAGAUACUGACGCUGAGGUGCGAAAGCGUGGGGAGCAAACAGGAUUAGAAACCCUAGUAGUCC
This 274-nucleotide ribosomal RNA is filed under the name uncultured bacterium. RNAcentral's name for it is "partial 16S ribosomal RNA". It matches the Rfam family "Bacterial small subunit ribosomal RNA", at positions 523 to 796 of the family's 1533-position model. The record is from RNAcentral.